Molecule: ribosomal RNA, 200 nt
Filed under: uncultured bacterium
Lineage: Bacteria
Description: partial 16S ribosomal RNA
Rfam family: Bacterial small subunit ribosomal RNA
Source: RNAcentral
UACGGAGGGUGCGAGCGUUAAUCGGAAUUACUGGGCGUAAAGCGCACGCAGGCGGUUUGUUAAGCUAGAUGUGAAAGCCCCGCGCUCAACGUGGGAAUAGCAUUUAGAACUGGCAGGCUAGAGUCUUGGAGAGGGGAGUGGAAUUCCAGGUGUAGCGGUGAAAUGCGUAGAUAUCUGGAGGAACAUCAGUGGCGAAGGCG